UUUGGCUGGGGCGGCACAUCU
This 21-nucleotide small nuclear RNA is filed under the name Arabidopsis thaliana (thale cress). RNAcentral's name for it is "snRNA_12506". The record is from RNAcentral. Lineage: Eukaryota; Viridiplantae; Streptophyta; Magnoliopsida; Brassicales; Brassicaceae.